RNAcentral lists this ribosomal RNA (1463 nucleotides) under metagenome. RNAcentral describes it as "bacterial SSU rRNA". It matches the Rfam family "Archaeal small subunit ribosomal RNA". The record is from RNAcentral.
GAUCCUGGCUCAAAAUGAACGCUGGCGGCGUGCUUAACACAUGCAAGUCGCACGAGAACGCUUCAGCUUGCUGAAGUUAGUAAAGUGGCGCACGGGUGAGUAACGCGUGGGUAAUCUUCCCCCGAAUUGGGGAUAACAUUGCGAAAGCGAUGCUAAUACCGAAUAAUAUCUUUAUUGCUUAGGCAUUAAAGAUCAAAGGUGGCCUCUACAUGUAAGCUACUGUUUGGGGAUGAGCCCGCGUACCAUUAGCUUGUUGGUAGGGUAACGGCCUACCAAGGCCGCGAUGGUUAGCUGGUCUGAGAGGAUGAUCAGCCACACUGGAACUGACACACGGUCCAGGCCCUACGGGGCGCAGCAGGCGCGAAACCUCCUCAAUGCACUUACGUGCGAAGGGGCUACCUCGAGUGCCACCUGAUGAAGGUGGCUUUUCCUAGGUCUAAAAAGCCUUGGGAAUAAGAGGGGGGCAAGACUGGUGUCAGCCGCCGCGGUAACACCAGCCCCUCGAGUGGUGGGGAUGAUUAUUGGGCCUAAAGCGUCCGUAGCCUGCCGUGUAAGUUUCCCGUUAAAUCCAGCGUCUUAAGCGUUGGACCGCGGGAAAUACUGUACGGCUAGAGAGUGGGAGAGGUCAGCGGUAUUCUGGGGGUAGGGGCGAAAUCCUUUGAUCCCCGGAGGACCACCAGUGGCGAAGGCUGCUGUCUAGAACACGUCUGACGGUCAGGGACGAAAGCUGGGGUAGCGAACCGGAUUAGAUACCCGGGUAGUCCCAGCCGUAAACGAUGCAUGCUAGGUGUUGGGUUGGCCACGAGCCACCCCAGUGCCGCAGGGAAGCCGUUAAGCAUGCCGCCUGGGAAGUACGAUCGCAAGGUUGAAACUUAAAGGAAUUGGCGGGGGAGCACCACCAGGCGUGAAGCCUGCGGUUUAAUUGGAGUCAACGCCGGGAACCUUACCGGGAGCGACAGCAGAGUGAAGGUCAGAUUGAAGAUCUUACCAGACGAGCUGAGAGGAGGUGCAUGGCCGUCGCCAGUUCGUGCCGUGAGGUGUUAUGUUAAGUCAUAUAACGAACGAGACCCGUGCCGCAUGUUGCCACCAGAAUCUAAAGGAUUGCUGAGCACUCUUGCGGGACCGCAGCCGAUAAGGCUGAGGAAGGUACGGGCAACGGCAGGUCAGUAUGCCCCGAAUCUCCCGGGCCACACGCGGGCUGCAAUGGUAUAGACAGAGGGCUGCCACCCCGAGAGGGGGAGCCAAUCCCUAAACUGUACCUCAGUUGGGAUCGAGGGCUGCAACCCGCCCUCGUGAACAUGGAAUGCCUAGUAACCGCCAGUCAUCAUCUGGCGGUGAAUACGUCCCUGCUCCUUGCACACACUGCCCGUCGAACCACCCGAAUGAGGUCUGGGUGAGGAAUGGUCGAAUGUUGGCCGUUUCGAACCUGAGCCUCGUAAGGAGGGUUAAGUCGUAACAAGGUG